UACGAAGGGGGCUAGCGUUGCUCGGAAUCACUGGGCGUAAAGCGCACGUAGGCGGAUCGUUAAGUCAGGGGUGAAAUCCUGGAGCUCAACUCCAGAACUGCCUUUGAUACUGGCGACCUUGAGUUCGGGAGAGGUGAGUGGAACUGCGAGUGUAGAGGUGAAAUUCGUAGAUAUUCGGAAGAACACCAGUGGCGAAGGCGACUCACUGGACACAUAUUGACGCUGAGGUGCGAAAGCGUGGGGAGCAAACAGG
RNAcentral lists this ribosomal RNA (253 nucleotides) under uncultured bacterium. RNAcentral's name for it is "partial 16S ribosomal RNA". It matches the Rfam family "Bacterial small subunit ribosomal RNA", at positions 524 to 776 of the family's 1533-position model. The record is from RNAcentral.